Ribosomal RNA from Arabidopsis thaliana (thale cress), 119 nucleotides. NCBI's taxonomy places the organism in Eukaryota, Viridiplantae, Streptophyta, Magnoliopsida, Brassicales, Brassicaceae. The record is from Rfam.
AGAUGCGAUCAUACCAGCACUAAUGCACCAGAUCCCAUCAGAACUUCGCAGUUAAGCGUGCUUGGGCGAGAGUAGUACUAGGAUGGGUGACCUCUGGGAAAGUCCUCGUGUUUCAUCCC